UACGUAGGGGGCAAGCGUUGUCCGGAAUCAUUGGGCGUAAAGAGCGUGUAAGCGGCCAGAAAAGUCCGCUGUGAAAACUCGAGGCUCAACUUCGAGCUGUCGGUGGAAACUUUCUGGCUAGAGUCCGGAAGAGGAGAAUGGAAUUCCUGGUGUAGCGGUGAAAUGCGCAGAUAUCAGGAGGAACACCAACGGCGAAGGCAGCUCGCUGGGACGGUACUGACGCUGAGACGCGAAAGCGUGGGGAGCGAACAGG
Molecule: ribosomal RNA, 253 nt
Filed under: uncultured bacterium
Lineage: Bacteria
Description: partial 16S ribosomal RNA
Rfam family: Bacterial small subunit ribosomal RNA
Source: RNAcentral